UUCCCAUCCCCCAUCUUCCGACCAGACUGUCAUCUCCUCAAAUCGAUUCCCGCCACUGCCUCACUAAUUAAUCACGGAUGAGCUACCGACGAUCCACCACUUCACCACCAGAAAAUCAUCAUCGAUGCUCGAUUCCUUGACGCUAAACUUGUCAUCGCUUCAAUCCUCACUACAGCCCUCGACAGGUAUUUUUUUCCUUCAUCAACCUGUCUUCAAUCACAUUUAGGGUUUCUGUGAAAAUAUUUGAUUUGGUUUUGGGGCAGAGGCGUUGUGUUCGAAUGGGUAUAUUUCAUGUUAGGGUUUCAUUACUCAUGCUUCUGAAUCAUGGUUAUAUAUUUUUAGAGAAUAUUCAGUAGUAUUCUAGUUGGAGCACAAGUUAGGUUUGCAUUUUACAGUGAAAAUCCCAACUUGUUAUAUCUUCAAAGGGGUGUUUGGAUAUGCGCUAUAGAAGUUAUUAUGUUGUUAGAUUUAGUAUGACUCUAAUCAGGGCCGGCUCUUCUUCCUUGAAGAACAAGUUGAUUUUUUUGAUUUUGGACUUAAUGGUAUUAACAACUUAUUGGUUCAUGCGUCCAAAAUCAAUCCUUCAUUUUCUAAUUGUUAUUGUUGUAAAUGUAAAUUGUUAAAUGUGUUGGCUAGUAUGUGAUCUGAAUAUAGUUUAACUUUCUUUCUUUCUUUCUUGAGUAUGUGUUGCCUUAAUUUACUAAUGAUGACUGACGAAUCAAUGGUUUCAUUUCAAAAUUUUCAGUCCAUCUCCAGAUCUCGUGUAGUUAAAAGAUAAGUUUUCUCAUAUGCCUAAUUUCUGUUUGUUUAUAAAACACCGACUAGGAAUGGAGUUGCUAGUAUUGAAAUCCUAAAGUGGACAUGACUAGACGGGUCAUGAUCGUGGGUUCAACCCGAACCCGAUAAUCGUAUCAUACAUAUGAACCCGAACACGAUCCGAAGUUUCGUGGGUAACCCGAACAAGACCCGUUAAACCCGAAAUCUUUUAAUUUUUGUCUGAAAUUAAUAUAUUAAAAUUAGAAUUUACUUAAAAACACAAAUGCUCGAAAAUCGAAAUGCCCAAUUAACUUCAAUAUGCCUUCAGCAACAUAUCUUGAAAAAACUCAGUCUUGAUUGAAAACUUAUUCCUUAUUAGUUAUAAAUUAAUCAAAUGCUACAUAAGUUCCUUACUUAAGAACUUCUUAGUGAUUUGGUGGUCUAUCAGUAACUUGCUAAAGUUACUCAUUGGAUGUUUAAAUGUCAAAUAGAAACCAAAUGUAUGAAUUAGGUUUAUAACAAUAAAAGUUUGGAACGGGCCCCAAAGUUUAACUUCAUUUUGGGGCUCCAAAAUGGUUGAGCCACCCCUGAUUUUAAUGAAUUACAAUUGAUUAUCUUGAUCGUGAUUAUUAGUGUUGCAUAAUGAGUUUAAAGCACACAACCAAACACCUUCUAUAUUUCAUCAACUUUUGUCCAAAAUUCAAUCUUUGCUGACAUAUUGUUGGGGGAUCAAUGGAAGUUCUGAUAAGAUGUUUUUAUAGACUGAAAACCGCAACAAGGUAAAUCAUUAUUUAUGAACUCUUGUUUCUUUUAAUUUCAUUGAUAAAUUUGUCGACUGUUGUUUUCAAGGGGGUCAUCUUUUGCUGAAAUAUUAUUAUAUGUUUAAACUUUGGGGCAACCACAGGUCUCAUUGACCUGUUUCUUAAAAGUUGUUAUCUACAUAAGGUUGGUUUAGUCAUAUUUGAUACCUUUCAGAGGUUAAUAAUUAAAUUUAGUGUAAUUUAUGUUUUAAUACUUAUCUGUGUAACGGUAUUAUUAUUUAGAUUAUCAUAUUUUGAUAGGGAAUAAACAAAUUAUCAAAAGGUUUUAGCUAGAUUGGAUUACGAAAGAGAAUAAGGAAGAACAAGUGAAUAGAUUUUAUUGCAGUGGAAUUAUAAUAGUACUGAAAGGAAAUUACAAAUAACCAGGGUUACACCCUCUCUCCAGGAGCCACUAAGUCAUAAAAAAUCUAAGAGCAUUAUUCCCUACUACUUAUACUCUCUCACCUCUAACAAACUCUCAAUCACAUUUAGAAAGUACCCCUUUACCCCUUCUAGAAAUAACUCUGGCUUUGCUUUAGAAAUAGUUACGGUAUCAACCGUAUUAGAUUAAUUACAUACUCGAUCAAUGGUUGUACUUACCUAAACUUUACGUGUAAUGACUUUGUGCAUCUAAAGGUGAGGUGGGUGCUAAUUACUUCUUUUUUAAAUUAUUUACCUUUAUAAACUUCCAGAAAAAUGCAGGUAAUCUUUGUUUCUAUUUGUUAAUUUUUGUCGCAGGUGGAUUUCUUCAUGUCAAGCAAUAUUAUUUUUUUUUUCUCACUUGUUAUCUACUUGCUAAGAAAGGGGUCUAUAAAAACUUGUUAUCCUUUAGUAAGGGUAGAUAUCAUGCAGCAACUUUGAGCUAAGUUUUUUGAAGUUCUCACCCAAAAGAACAUGUAGACUCCUCAUGUAAAUAGUUAGAAUUUGGAAUUUGUUACUUAUUACACAAUGUUUUGCUAACAUUUGCAAUAUGUUUCGGAUCAAACUUAUUAUUGAAGUUAUAAUAUUAUGCUUUCUACCUUUA
RNAcentral lists this long non-coding RNA (2580 nucleotides) under Helianthus annuus (common sunflower). RNAcentral's name for it is "hypothetical non coding rna". Lineage: Eukaryota; Viridiplantae; Streptophyta; Magnoliopsida; Asterales; Asteraceae. The record is from RNAcentral.